This 459-nucleotide ribosomal RNA is filed under the name uncultured bacterium. RNAcentral's name for it is "partial 16S ribosomal RNA". It matches the Rfam family "Bacterial small subunit ribosomal RNA", at positions 338 to 795 of the family's 1533-position model. The record is from RNAcentral.
CCUACGGGAGGCAGCAGUGAGGAAUAUUGGUCAAUGGUCGGGAGACUGAACCAGCCAAGCCGCGUGAGGGAGGAAGGUACAGAGUAUCGUAAACCUCUUUUGUCAGGGAACAAAGACUGGGACGCGUCCCCGGAUGAGUGUACCUGAAGAAAAAGCAUCGGCUAACUCCGUGCCAGCAGCCGCGGUAAUACGGAGGAUGCGAGCGUUAUCCGGAUUUAUUGGGUUUAAAGGGUGCGCAGGCGGGCGGUUAAGUCAGCGGUAAAAGCCCGGGGCACAACCCCGGCCCGCCGUUGAAACGGGCAGUCGCGAGUUGGAGAGAAGUAUGCGGAAUGCGCGGUGUAGCGGUGAAAUGCAUAGAUAUCGCGCAGAACUCCGAUUGCGAAGGCAGCAUGCCGGCUCCACACUGACGCUGAGGCACGAAAGCGUGGGUAUCGAACAGGAUUAGAUACCCCAGUAGUC